CAGAGGUCCCAAGCGUUGUUCGGAUUCACUGGGCGUAAAGGGUGCGUAGGUGGUAAGGCAAGUCAGGUGUGAAAUCUCCGGGCUCAACCCGGAAAUGGCAUUCGAAACUACCUUGCUAGAGGGUUUGAGGGGGGACUGGAAUACUUGGUGUAGCAGUGAAAUGCGUAGAUAUCAAGUGGAACACCAGUGGCGAAGGCGAGUCCCUGGAAAACUCCUGACACUGAGGCACGAAAGCUAGGGGAGCAAACAGGAUUAGAUACCCUGGUAGUCCUAGCCCUAAACGGCGCUUGCUUGCUGUAAGAGGAAUCGACCCCUCUUGUGGCGGAGCUAACGCGUUAAGCAAGCCGCCUGGGAAGUACGGUCGCAAGAUUA
RNAcentral lists this ribosomal RNA (372 nucleotides) under uncultured organism. Its description in RNAcentral is "bacterial SSU rRNA". It matches the Rfam family "Bacterial small subunit ribosomal RNA", at positions 526 to 896 of the family's 1533-position model. The record is from RNAcentral.